AACCUUGGGCCUGGCUGGCCGGUCCGCCUCACCGCGUGCACUGGUCCGGCCGGGCCUUUCCCUCUGUGGAACCGCAUGCCCUUCACUGGGUGUGCCGGGGAAACAGGACUUUUACUUUGAAAAAAUUAGAGUGCUCCAGGCAGGCCUAUGCUCGAAUACAUUAGCAUGGAAUAAUAGAAUAGGACGUGUGGUUCUAUUUUGUUGGUUUCUAGGACCGCCGUAAUGAUUAAUAGGGACAGUCGGGGGCAUCAGUAUUCAAUUGUCAGAGGUGAAAUUCUUGGAUUUAUUGAAGACUAACUACUGCGAAAGCAUUUGCCAAGGAUGUUUUCAUUUAUCAGGAACGAAAGUUAGGGGAUCGAAGACGAUCAGAUACCGUCGUAGUCUUAACCAUAAACUAUGCCGACUAGGGAUCGGACGAUGUUAUUUUUUGACUCGUUCGGCACCUAC
Molecule: ribosomal RNA, 447 nt
Filed under: uncultured Glomerella
Lineage: Eukaryota; Fungi; Ascomycota; Sordariomycetes; Glomerellales; Glomerellaceae
Description: SSU rRNA
Rfam family: Eukaryotic small subunit ribosomal RNA
Source: RNAcentral